GAUAGGCUAAUUAAGAGCGUAUGGGGAAUGCCUUGGCUCUCAGAGGCUAUGAAGGACGUGAUAAGCUGCGAAAAGCUACGGGGAUCGGCACAUACGAUUUGAUCCGUAGAUAUCCGAAUGGGGAAACCCUCUAUGUUGAAGACAUAGAACCUUUUUUAAGGAGUUAACCCGGGGAACUGAAACAUCUAAGUACCCGGAGGAAAAGAAAACAAUUGUGAUUCCGCUAGUAGCGGCGAGCGAACGCGGAAUAGCCCAAACCUAUAUUGUUUCGGCAAUAUAGGGGUUGUAGGACCACGUUAUUCAAUGCUUAAUUAAUUAGAAUCUUCUGGAAAGUUGAACCAUAGAGGG
RNAcentral lists this ribosomal RNA (348 nucleotides) under uncultured Flavobacteriaceae bacterium. RNAcentral describes it as "bacterial LSU rRNA". It matches the Rfam family "Bacterial large subunit ribosomal RNA", at positions 1 to 364 of the family's 2925-position model. Lineage: Bacteria; Pseudomonadati; Bacteroidota; Flavobacteriia; Flavobacteriales; Flavobacteriaceae. The record is from RNAcentral.